RNAcentral lists this ribosomal RNA (465 nucleotides) under Vreelandella stevensii. Its description in RNAcentral is "partial 16S ribosomal RNA". It matches the Rfam family "Bacterial small subunit ribosomal RNA", at positions 338 to 795 of the family's 1533-position model. Lineage: Bacteria; Pseudomonadati; Pseudomonadota; Gammaproteobacteria; Oceanospirillales; Halomonadaceae. The record is from RNAcentral.
CCUACGGGCGGCAGCAGUGGGGAAUAUUGGACAAUGGGCGAAAGCCUGAUCCAGCCAUGCCGCGUGUGUGAAGAAGGCCUUCGGGUUGUAAAGCACUUUCAGUGGGGAAGAAAGCCUUGGGGCUAAUACCCUCGAGGAAGGACAUCACCCACAGAAGAAGCACCGGCUAACUCCGUGCCAGCAGCCGCGGUAAUACGGAGGGUGCGAGCGUUAAUCGGAAUUACUGGGCGUAAAGCGCGCGUAGGCGGUCUGAUAAGCCGGUUGUGAAAGCCCCGGGCUCAACCUGGGAACGGCAUCCGGAACUGUCAGGCUAGAGUGCAGGGGAGGAAGGUAGAAUUCCCGGUGUAGCGGUGAAAUGCGUAGAGAUCGGGAGGAAUACCAGUGGCGAAGGCGGCCUUCUGGACUGACACUGACGCUGAGGUGCGAAAGCGUGGGUAGCAAACAGGAUUAGAUACCCCGGUAGUC